Molecule: ribosomal RNA, 309 nt
Filed under: Triticum aestivum (bread wheat)
Lineage: Eukaryota; Viridiplantae; Streptophyta; Magnoliopsida; Poales; Poaceae
Description: partial small subunit ribosomal RNA
Source: RNAcentral
CGGAUCAAGCAGCUCAAGAGGCAACUGGAUAGGAUGAAAAUGGGCGAUGACGAAUCUGUGUCAACGUUCGCCCAUAAGAUGAUGACCCUCGUCGGUGAGAUCCGGUCCCUUGGUGAGAAAAUCAACGAUGAGACAGUGGUUGAAACCCUGUUCAAUGCUGUCCCUCCACGGUUCGGCGACAUCGUCAACACAAUCGAGCAAUGGGGCGACCUCACGAUGAUGACGAUGGCUGAGGCUGUUGGUCGUCUAGCAGCCUUCGAGGAAAACCAGAGAGGUCGCCGACGUCAGUCUAGCGGCAAGGAUGAUUAG